AUAAGGUACUUCCGUGAUGAUAUACAAAGAAUGGGAAAAAUUCCAAGAAAAGGAUCUUACAAUACAAUUACGUUUUUACAUCGAAUGUGCUCACUUGAAGUCGAUGACAUCGCAUUGAUUUACAGUUUAAAUACUAAUAUUGUUUUAUGAAGAUAUCCUUUUUUGUUUAAAUCAUUUCUAAUUUGAACAAUAAAGCAAGUUAGCAUAGAAGAUGCUUCCACGAC
This 224-nucleotide long non-coding RNA is filed under the name Mytilus galloprovincialis (Mediterranean mussel). The record is from RNAcentral. Lineage: Eukaryota; Metazoa; Mollusca; Bivalvia; Mytilida; Mytilidae.